Molecule: long non-coding RNA, 1181 nt
Filed under: Capra hircus (goat)
Lineage: Eukaryota; Metazoa; Chordata; Mammalia; Artiodactyla; Bovidae
Description: lncRNA (ENSCHIG00010015435.1)
Source: RNAcentral
GGACUUGCUCUCUCGGUCGGUUCGGAGAUACGGGCUCGGAGCAUAACAGUUAACCCUUAUACCUAGCUCUGCCUACUACACAAGGAAAAUAGAGGCUGUUCAACACGUUUAAAACAAAAAAAAGGAGAAAGUCAGCCCUGCUUUUUGACUACCAAGUGAUCCUAGCCAACGAUGAUUUUGUGUUAUAAAUAUGGAGGAUGCCUUCCUUCAGGGACCUUCCAUGGCUUGUAUCUGGUGGAAGUGUAGAGUUCACAGCACAGUCUUUCUCUCUCACUCUCUAAUUUUUUUUAGGAAGAACCUUUCAUAUUAUCAUUCUUAUGCUGGGAUGGGGACCUACCAGUUAUCACAGCUUGAGUGUGGGGAGAGGGGAGGAGUGGUCUGGUUCAGUUCCCACAAAACAUUUCCUAGGGACUUGUUACUUGUGGUGAAUGCUAUGUUCCCUGCAAAAGAUUCAGAGAGAAAUAAAACAAAGCUCUCCUGUCUCGGUGCUAUCUUGUCAGGGGUGCUCUCCCCUGAGGGAGGGAAAAGGGUGAGGCUGGCUGUGGAUGGUCACAUUUCUUCUCUAGGAGACCACUUAACCACAACAAAAACCAGGCAGCUUUCACCAGAUAAUUCAAGAAGGAGGAUUUAUUUUAGAAGGGAUUUCCCAGAGUCCUGCUGACCUCUGAGCCAGGCAGCUCUCUUGCGUUCCUGUUAAAGGCUCUGCCCCUGUGGCUCCAGGUGCCCCCUCGGAGGCAGGAGAGUCAGGAAUAGGAGGAAGAGGGGACCUCACCGGGCAAGGGGGACCGCACUUGCUGGCUGUUCCCCUUCUCACUCGCUGCCCAGGGUAUUUUUAUCAGAAGAAACGGUGAGCUUCACUUCUCUUACUUCGCCUAAAGACUCCCCCGUCUCAAACCGAUUCCUCCUAGCUCGGAUUCCUCCAUUUGCAGAAAUGCUCAGACACGUCUGCGUCUGUUGCGUCCAGGGGGCUCUCUCCCUAGUCACCAGUGAUGAUGAGGUGAUGAUGGGGAGUGGUGGCUGCCAGGUUAAGGCAGAAGAGAUUAUCUUUAGACGGCAGAUUCUGGUGGAGCUCUCGCUUCACAAAUGUUUUAGCAGUUGUUCUUGAAGGGAGAAUGCAUGUCAUGAAAUUCAGAGGAUAGCUUCAAAAGUUCUUGAGUAUAUUAUGAGAGGAGAACAUGAAA